Molecule: ribosomal RNA, 1923 nt
Filed under: Triticum aestivum (bread wheat)
Lineage: Eukaryota; Viridiplantae; Streptophyta; Magnoliopsida; Poales; Poaceae
Description: partial small subunit ribosomal RNA
Source: RNAcentral
AUGGGCCGGAGCCUGAGCCCGCUGCUCCGGCAGGAGCUGGAGAACCUGGACAAAGACGCCGACAGCCGCCGGAACGCCAUGAAGACGCUCAAGUCCUACGCCAAGCAGCUCGACUCCAAGUCCAUCCCCCACUUCCUCGCCGAGGUCUCCGACAACAAGCCCCCCGGCCUGCCCUCCGGCGAGUUCACCAUCUCGCUCUACGAGGUGCUCGCCAGGGUCCACGGCCGGAACAUCGUGCCGCAGAUCGGCAACAUCAUGUCCACCAUCACGCGCACGCUGUCCUCCAGCGGCGGCUCCUUCCCGCUGCACCAGGCGUGCUCCAAGGUGGUGCCGGCCAUAGCGCGGUACGGCAUCGACCCCUCGGCGCCCGAGGAGGAGAAGGCGCGCAUCAUCGCCUCCCUCUGCAAGCCCCUCUGCGGCGCGCUCAUGAGCGACCAGGACGGCGCGGCGUCGGGCGCCGCGCUCUGCCUCAAGGCGCUCGUCGAGUCGAGCAACUGGAGGUUUGCGUCCGGUGAGGCCGUCAACGAGGUCUGCCUGAAGGUCGCCGGGGCGAUGCACGACAGGUCAACCCGGUCCAAUGCGCACAUGGGCCUGGCAAUGGCGCUUGUCAAGCACAACGGCCUGAUUGCAGAGGCGUAUGCGAGGUCCCUUGUGCGGUCUGCCCUGCAGGUUCUUGACGGCGACGCCGCGGAGAGCAGCUCCCAGAAGCGGCUCUCGGCGAUCCAGAUGAUCAAUUUCUUCAUGAAGUUUGUCGACCCCAGGAGCAUAUCCUCGGAGCUUGGCAAGGUGGUGGAUGUCAUGGAGCAAUGCCAGAACGACCGCAUGCCGUUCGUCCGAGGCGCCGCGUUUGAGACGUCACAGACUGCCAAGAACAUUGCUGCGCAGAAGGGGUCGAGGCACGAGGUCACCACGAGCCCGAUGGUAGGCUCCAACUUCCAGAAGAGAAGAGAGAAAAGCCCAUGCAGGAGCCUCUGGAAUGCCAAGGGCAGCAGCCCUGCAAGCUCCACCAUGUCUGCUUCACCGGUUCAGUUCCAGUCCCCUGAAUCACAGGUGGUAGACUCAACCAUCAUGUAUGGCAGUAGUACGCUCACUGAAUCGCCCAUCUCGAUCGGGCAGUCUUCUUGCAAUUUCGAUCAGAGCCGGCGCGCAAACAGGAGGUUAUGGAGCAAUGAUGGUGUGGAUGUUUCUCUCAAGGAUGGCCUGUUCAUUAGGUUCUGCUCAAACGGCAAGUGCCUUGAAGAUGACUUGGGGGAGGUUUGUGACAGCGAAGUAACCGAUGCCGAUUUCGAGUGCACUGGCACAUUCACAGGAUUUGUUUCAGCUAGCCCCAACAACGCCUUAUCAAGAGAUGAGACCCCCGGUCCGCAGGCUUCUGAAAGGCCGAUCAGCAUUGAUGAUGUGAAGCUAUACACGACACCGAGAAAGCUUCUCCGAUCUCUCCAGAGUUCAUACGACUUCGACUCUGAUCGCCACAAGGAAAAAUCAAUUAUGAAGCUGAACUGCUCAUCAUCGUCAUCGUCGUCAUCAUCAUCACCACCAUCAGAUCAGGAACAUAAGGAACUAACAGAGUCAUCUGAGGAUAUGCAAUCUGAGCAUUCUGAGAGCAAGACCGAAGAGGGGAGCAAAGAGACUGAAACCGCUGCUGAUAGGCCUAGCGCUAAGGGUACUAUGGAGAUUAUCUGCAAUGAAGAUAAAUCAGGUCUGUCUAGUACUGAAGUUGAGAAUACAACCUGUGAAGAAUCCUCUGAGGUUGAAUUCAAGGAGCUGGAUGUUUGUGUGAAAAGAAGCAGAGGGAAGACCAGGAAGUUCAAGACAAUAUUCGGUUGUCUUUCGAGCAUAAUCAUUAUCGUUGUCGCAAUCAUCGCUGUGUUAAUUAGGAUAGAAGACAGUUCUGAGGAUUAUGUUGGUCUAGUCCCCACUUGA